GGGGAAUUAUCGAAAACUAAUAAAGAUAUUUUCAUCUAUGGUGGUUAUUAUAAAAUAUAUGAAACAAUCGUUAUACUUUAAAAGUUUAAACUAAUAAAGAACGACAUUUUAAAUAUUUUUAUAUUUAACACGCGUCCUCACGUCUGGGCUCCAAACUUUUCGCUAGGCUUAGAACGUUGACUUGAAUUAAAUAGGGAAAAAUUAAUAAUGUUAGGAAUGUGACGUGACUCAAAUUUUGGAUCUCUUGCUCUGAUAUCAUAUGAAAUAUAUCUGCUAUACUCUAAAAGAUUAAGUUAAUAGAGAAUGAUGUUCUAAAUAUGUUUAUAUUUGGGGCAAUUGCUUAUAUACCCCUGAAAAGUUCCCGACUUUCCGAUUUACUCCUCUUAGAAGGCUAAUAUUGAAAAUACACCUCCUAUGUUCCAACCUAUAUCUAAUAUACCCUUAGAGUUAAAAUCUGUUAAGUAAUUCUGUUAUCUCUGUAAAAUUACUAUUUUGCCCUCUCAAAUAUACCCUUCCACCAUCACAGUCUUUCUUAUUUGCCCUUAAAGUCAGGGGCACAAAAAGUGUUUUGCAUUUUGGUCUUUUCCAAUAUACCCCUCUACCGUCACCAAUCUUUUUUAUUUGCUCUUAAGUUAAGGGUAAAUUGGCAUUUUAAUUUUUUUUAACUGUGAUAGAUAUUUAACU
Molecule: long non-coding RNA, 684 nt
Filed under: Ananas comosus (pineapple)
Lineage: Eukaryota; Viridiplantae; Streptophyta; Magnoliopsida; Poales; Bromeliaceae
Description: long non-coding RNA (ACOM_LNC012392)
Source: RNAcentral